GCGCAUGUGCAUUCCGUUGGUUCCUGUUCUUAGAGCAGGUGAAAAGGGAAUGCGAUAAGGAUUGCGACAUAUCUGAAACGCAGCCGCCCCCGCGACCGUGACCGGAGAGGGUCUGGACGCCACUGGCCAAGUGCCGGGAAGGCCCAGAUUCACCAGAGAUGAUUUGAUCAUCUCUGAUAUCCGUAAGCCGGGAGACCUGCCAGCAAGGAAAGACAUGU
RNAcentral lists this non-coding RNA (218 nucleotides) under Thalassovita sp. Lineage: Bacteria; Pseudomonadati; Pseudomonadota; Alphaproteobacteria; Rhodobacterales; Roseobacteraceae. The record is from RNAcentral.